This 1457-nucleotide long non-coding RNA is filed under the name Equus caballus (horse). Its description in RNAcentral is "lncRNA (ENSECAG00000033665.3)". Lineage: Eukaryota; Metazoa; Chordata; Mammalia; Perissodactyla; Equidae. The record is from RNAcentral.
GAAGGGCCCUUGGCUCUACCGCAUGCGAGGCUGGUGCAGUGGCCAAAAAGGCGUUCACUUGCACAGCUAUGGGUAGGAGAAUUGCCAGAGUGGCCCACAGUUCCCAACACGCAGAGAAGCUGGGGGCCGGAAUGACCUGCGGAACCCGUGCAGGGAGUCAGGUUGGUGACCGGAAGGCCGUCUGGGGCACCAAAGCUCUGGAAAGAUGGUCACCGAAAGGUAUCUGACUGGCACAGGAGGAUGGAGGCCUGAGGGCAGGAGGUGUUUUAGUUCUCCUGUCUGCCACAAGCUGGGGUCCUGAAGCAUCCACGGAUACGUGGAUUUCAGGCUGGCUGGCGGUCAGAAGAGCCGUGAAUCCGGUUGUCCAGUGAUGAUGAGUGGGUGGCCGGAAGGGAAGUGGAUGCACCAGCAAGCUGGAAGGACGGUGGCCGAGAGGGUUCUAAAUUCCCCAGCACACGGGCAGGUUGUUAGCCGGGAGAGCUCUGGGCUCCCCAACACGCCAGGCCUGUAAGGUGGCCCGAAGGGAUCUCAUAUCCACAGCAUGUGGGCAGGCUGAAGGCCAGUUAGCCCUCGGCUCCCCAACACACGGGCAGGUUGAGGGGCCAAAUGACCGGCGGAACCCUAGCGGGUGGGCAUGUUUGUGACCCGAAGAUCCCCGCACCAAUGCAGGAAAAGGAUGGUGGCCCAAAGGGUUCUCACUUCCACAGUGCGCUGCGGCCUGGGGCUGGAAAUGCCCCGCUCCCCCGCUGUGAGGCCGGAAGGUGCGUUUGCAUCACCCGCAGCCAGGCGGGUGGCUGUGGGUCCUCCGUGGCCCAGCGUCGUGCGGUCAACAGCACGCUGCUGGAUCGCCGCCGCCAGCCUGGGUCGGUGCCUUCAGCUUCGGUCUACCAAACAUAUAUCCGUAUUGCAUCGGGCCAGCUCCUGUCCUGAGAAUCCCUGCUUGAUGAGGCCAUCCAUUAUCCUCUCUUACCGUAUGUUAGCUGCAUCCGUGCCAGGCACUUAUAACUGCCUGGAAUUGCUUUAUCUACCUUCAAGAUAUAUCCAGAAUCCACCCACUUCUGCCUCCUCCAUUCUUACCUCCCUGGUCUGAGCCACCAUCAUCUGUCACUAGGAUGGCUGUGGUAGCCUCUGCGCUGGUCUCCUUCCUCCACUCUUGCUCUGCCCUCACCAGCCUUUUCUCAACACAUCAGCCAGAGGAAUCCCUUUAAAACAGAAGUCAGACCGUGCAGCUGCAGCCACCACCAGAAACCAGGAGGAAGCAAAGAAGGAUCCUACCCAGAGUCUCAGAGGGAGCAUGGACCUGCUGAUACCUUCAUUUCAGACUUCUACCCUCCAGAACUGUGGGAGAAUACAUUUGACACCAGAGCCCCUAUAAAAAAUAAGCGAAUUUGGAUAAUAAAUUUCCACUGCUGUUUUAAGCCACUUGGUUUGUGGUACUUUCUUAUGGCAGCCCUAGG